Molecule: ribosomal RNA, 429 nt
Filed under: Chloroflexota bacterium
Lineage: Bacteria; Bacillati; Chloroflexota
Description: Chloroflexi bacterium partial 16S ribosomal RNA
Rfam family: Bacterial small subunit ribosomal RNA
Source: RNAcentral
UGGGGAAUAUUGCACAAUGGGCGCAAGCCUGAUGCAGCCAUGCCGCGUGUAUGAAGAAGGCCUUCGGGUUGUAAAGUACUUUCAGUCGGGAGGAAGGUGGUAAGGUUAAUAACCUUAUCAAUUGACGUUACCGACAGAAGAAGCACCGGCUAACUCCGUGCCAGCAGCCGCGGUAAUACGGAGGGUGCAAGCGUUAAUCGGAAUUACUGGGCGUAAAGCGCACGCAGGCGGUUGAUUGAGUCAGAUGUGAAAUCCCCGGGCUUAACCCGGGAAUUGCCGCUGAUACUGGUCAGCUAGAGUCUUGUAGAGGGGGGUAGAAUGCCAUGUGUAGCGGUGAAAUGCGUAGAGAUGUGGAGGAAUGCCGGUGGCGAAGGCGGCCCCCUGGACAAAGACUGACGCUCAGGUGCGAAAGCGUGGGGAGCAAACAGG